CGCCCUAAUCAGCCAGGUGAACUCCUCACCUGGGCCGUGUUAGUACCGCGAUCCACACCGCGACCCGGACAGGGAGGAGGAACCGCCACCAGUGUGUGAGUGUGUGUGUGAGUGUGUGAGUGUGUGUCUGGAACACAUGGCUGCGGUGACUGCAGAGGGCUGUGAAACAAAGAGCAGUGCGUCCUGUGUGUCCACGUUCACGCUCUCAGGAUCCUCGUUUAGUAUUCAGCCAGAGGAAGCAGCUCAUCCCCACCAGUCUGGCCCAAGGUCCUGCGCCUCUCGGAUCCACGAGGCGAUUUGUUCAUAUUUAACAAGCCGGAUGACAGGUGAGGCCACCAAGUGAAAAUCCUCACGCAUGAGAGACGACCGUGCAGGUCACAAACCAAAUCUGUCCUGCGUGUCGCACAGUCACGACUCGGGCCAAAAGGUGUCGGCGGAAGCGGCUGCCGUCUGUGCU
Scatophagus argus is the source of this 457-nucleotide long non-coding RNA. RefSeq lists it as uncharacterized. The transcript is spliced from 3 exons. Lineage: Eukaryota; Metazoa; Chordata; Actinopteri; Scatophagidae. The record is from RefSeq and is a predicted model, not a curated record.